This 98-nucleotide microRNA precursor is filed under the name Marmota monax (woodchuck). Lineage: Eukaryota; Metazoa; Chordata; Mammalia; Rodentia; Sciuridae. The record is from RNAcentral.
AGUGGAAUUGCUGGAUAAUAUGGUAACCCUAUGUCUAACUCUUUGAAGAAUUGCCAAACUGAAAAGUAAUUUCACCAUUUUAUAUUCACACUAGCAGU